Molecule: non-coding RNA, 106 nt
Organism: Astrocystis sublimbata
Lineage: Eukaryota; Fungi; Ascomycota; Sordariomycetes; Xylariales; Xylariaceae
Source: the annotation of a GenBank genome assembly
GGCCUCGUGGCCCAAUGGCAAGGCGUCUGACUACGAGGGUGAUUCAAGUUCGAUUGAUUCAUUCGGAGCAAUCAGGAGAUUCUGGGUUCGACCCCCAGCGAGGUCA